RNAcentral lists this ribosomal RNA (469 nucleotides) under uncultured bacterium. Its description in RNAcentral is "partial 16S ribosomal RNA". The stretch from base 13 to 373 matches the Rfam family "Bacterial small subunit ribosomal RNA", at positions 40 to 399 of the family's 1533-position model. The record is from RNAcentral.
GACGAACGCUGGCGGCGUGCUUAACACAUGCAAGUCGAACGGAAAGGCCCUGCUUUUGUGGGGUGCUCGAGUGGCGAACGGGUGAGUAACACGUGAGUAACCUGCCCUUGACUUUGGGAUAACUUCAGGAAACUGGGGCUAAUACCGGAUAGGAGCUCCUGCUGCAUGGUGGGGGUUGGAAAGUUUCGGCGGUUGGGGAUGGACUCGCGGCUUCUCAGCUUGUUGGUGGGGUAGUGGCUUACCAAGGCUUUGACGGGUAGCCGGCCUGAGAGGGUGACCGGGAAAAAGGGGAGGGGAAGACGGGACGGAGGGCGAAGGGAGGGAGGAGGGGGGGAGAGUGCACAAUGGGGGGAAGGCGGAUGAAGAAAAGCUGGGGGGGGGAGGACGGGAUGGGGGGUGGAAAGAGAAUGAGAUCAUGAAGAAGCGUGGUGGGAGGGGAGGGGGUAAAGAAGAAACGGCUAACGAAGUG